GGGGGUGAACGGUUUCGACUUCGGACGUCGAAACAGGGGAAGCGGGCCGAGGAGGCCGGGGCUGAUCUCGUGAACCAUGCCCUGGAAACCAAUAAGCGCCAAUUCCAACCGCGCUGACUUCGCCCUCGCUGCCUAGCAGCAGGGACUAGCCGAAGUCCGUCAGCCCGGGGUCGCCUCCGACCCGGAUGCUGGCGUCGCCAGGAGGCUCCACCCGAGGGUCCGGUCGCGGGACCCUCGGGAAAACCCCACAGCGACUGAGCCUGUCGACGACUUGCCUGCAUGAGAGUCGGGGCUGAGAAAAGCAGAGCAGGCUGCGCCCGGAGAAGCCCUGUAUCCACGCCGAAGGACCCGGGUUCGAUUCCCGGCACCUCCACCG
This 376-nucleotide transfer-messenger RNA is filed under the name Actinomycetes bacterium. It matches the Rfam family "transfer-messenger RNA". From Rfam's summary of the family: Bacterial tmRNA, also known as 10Sa RNA or SsrA, is named for its dual tRNA and mRNA-like properties. The record is from RNAcentral. Lineage: Bacteria; Bacillati; Actinomycetota; Actinomycetes.